RNAcentral lists this ribosomal RNA (481 nucleotides) under uncultured bacterium. RNAcentral's name for it is "partial 16S ribosomal RNA". It matches the Rfam family "Bacterial small subunit ribosomal RNA", at positions 28 to 507 of the family's 1533-position model. The record is from RNAcentral.
GAUGAACGCUGGCGGCGUGCUUAACACAUGCAAGUCGAACGAAGCACUUUAUUUGAUUUCCUUCGGUACUGAUUAUUUUGUGACUGUGUGGCGGACGUGUCAGUAACGCGUGGUUAACCUGCCUUGUACAGGGGGAUAACAGUAGGAAACGGCUGCUAAUACCGCAUAAUCGCACGGCAUUGCUUGAUGCAGUGUGAAAAACUCCGGGGGUAUAAGAUGGACCCGCGUUGGAUUAGCUAGUUGGUGAAGUAACGGCCCACCAAGGCGAGGAUCCAUAGCCGACCUGGUAGGCUGAGCGGUCAGAUUGGGACUGAGACACAGACUAAAAUGUUACGGGAGGGAGCAGUAGGGAAUAUUGCACAAGGAACGACAGCGUGAUGCAGCGGCGCGGAGUAAGCCAGGAAGUUUUUUGGUAUGUAAUGCUAUAUUAGCAGAGACGAUAGUGACGGUACCUGUCUAAGAAGCACCGGCUAAAUACGUG